Molecule: ribosomal RNA, 305 nt
Filed under: uncultured bacterium
Lineage: Bacteria
Description: bacterial SSU rRNA
Rfam family: Bacterial small subunit ribosomal RNA
Source: RNAcentral
UGACCUACGGGACGCAGCAGUGGGGAAUAUUGGGCAAUGGGCGCAAGCCUGACCCAGCAACGCCGCGUGAAGGAAGAAGGCUUUCGGGUUGUAAACUUCUUUUCUUGGGGACGAAGAAAGUGACGGUACCCAAGGAAUAAGCCACGGCUAACUACGUGCCAGCAGCCGCGGUAAUACGUAGGUGGCAAGCGUUAUCCGGAUUUACUGGGUGUAAAGGGCGUGCAGCCGGAGAGACAAGUCAGAUGUGAAAUCCACGGGUUCAACCCGUGAACUGCAUUUGAAACUGUUUCCCUUGAGUGUCGGAG